Molecule: ribosomal RNA, 496 nt
Filed under: uncultured bacterium
Lineage: Bacteria
Description: partial 16S ribosomal RNA
Rfam family: Bacterial small subunit ribosomal RNA
Source: RNAcentral
AUGAACGCUGGCGGCGUGCCUAAUCCCUGCAAGUCGCGCGAACAGACGAGGAGCUUGCUCCUCUGACGUUAGCGGCGGACGGGUGAGUAACACGUGGAUAACCUACCUAUAAGACUGGGAUAACUUCGGGAAACCGGAGCUAAUACCGGAUAAUAUAUUGAACCGCCUGGUUCAAUAGUGAAAGACGGUUUUGCUGUCACUUAUAGAUGGAUCCGCGCCGCAUUAGCUAGUUGGUAAGGUAACGGCUUACCAAGGCAACGAUGCGUAGCCGACCUGAGAGGGUGAUCGGCCACACUGGAACUGAGACACGGUCCAGACUCCUACGGGAGGCAGCAGUAGGGAAUCUUCCGCAAUGGGCGAAAGCCUGACGGAGCAACGCCGCGUGAGUGAUGAAGGUCUUCGGAUCGUAAAACUCUGUUAUUAGGGAAGAACAAAUGUGUAAGUAACUAUGCACGUCUUGACGGUACCUAAUCAGAAAGCCACGGCUAACUACGUG